Molecule: ribosomal RNA, 484 nt
Filed under: uncultured bacterium
Lineage: Bacteria
Description: partial 16S ribosomal RNA
Rfam family: Bacterial small subunit ribosomal RNA
Source: RNAcentral
AUUGAACGCUGGCGGAAUGCUUUACACAUGCAAGUCGAACGGCAGCACGGGGGCAACCCUGGUGGCGAGUGGCGAACGGGUGAGUAAUACAUCGGAACGUGCCCGGUCGUGGGGGAUAACGUAGCGAAAGUUACGCUAAUACCGCAUACGAUCUGAGGAUGAAAGCGGGGGACCUUCGGGCCUCGCGCGAUCGGAGCGGCCGAUGUCAGAUUAGGUAGUUGGUGGGGUAAAGGCCUACCAAGCCGACGAUCUGUAGCUGGUCUGAGAGAACGACCAGCCACACUGGGACUGAGACACGGCCCAGACUCCUACGGUAGGCAGCAGUGGGGAAUUUUGGACAAUGGGCGCAAGCCUGAUCCAGCCAUUCCGCGUGCAGGACGAAGGCCUUCGGUUUGUAAACUGCUUUUGUAUGGAACGAAAAGGCUCUGGCUAAUACCUGGGGCUCAUGACGGUACCGUAAGAAUAAGCACCGGCUAACUACGUG